Molecule: non-coding RNA, 75 nt
Organism: Cordylochernes scorpioides
Lineage: Eukaryota; Metazoa; Arthropoda; Arachnida; Pseudoscorpiones; Chernetidae
Source: the annotation of a GenBank genome assembly
GCAUACCUAUGGGGAAUCGAACCUACGCCCUUCGCAUUAUUGACACAACGCUCUAACCAACUGAGCUACGGUAUG